GACAGAGGGUGCAAACGUUGUUCGGAAUUACUGGGCGUAAAGCGCGUGUAGGCGGCUAAGUAAGUCGGGCGUGAAAUCCCACGGCUCAACCGUGGAAGUGCACUCGAAACUGCGUAGCUGGAGUCCUGGAGAGGAAGGUGGAAUGCUUGGUGUAGAGGUGAAAUUCGUAGAUAUCAAGCGGAACACCGGUGGCGAAGGCGGCCUUCUGGGACAGUGACGUGACGCUGAGACGCGAAAGCGUGGGGAGCAAACAGGG
RNAcentral lists this ribosomal RNA (256 nucleotides) under uncultured bacterium. RNAcentral describes it as "partial 16S ribosomal RNA". It matches the Rfam family "Bacterial small subunit ribosomal RNA", at positions 524 to 777 of the family's 1533-position model. The record is from RNAcentral.